This is a non-coding RNA of Arachis ipaensis, 633 nucleotides long. Lineage: Eukaryota; Viridiplantae; Streptophyta; Magnoliopsida; Fabales; Fabaceae. The record is from RefSeq and is a predicted model, not a curated record.
CAACAAUUCCACACCCUUCAUCGAGAAUCUCUUCUUCGAGACACUCUCACUCUCAACUCUUUCGCCGUCAGUCUCAUCGAUCUAUGGCAACCCUGGAUGAGCUCAGAUCCCACCGUCACCAGCACCAUCCUCGCUGCGCCGUUAGCCUCCGCCUCGUCUCCUCCUUGCCUCUUCCCUAGCAUCCAACAGCGUCGUCGUAGUUUCGUGCUCUCCUGCCGUCUUCCUGCUCUGGCCACCGCGAUGCUAACAUCCCGUCCACCACGCCUCCGCCUCGUGUUUGCCUCGCUGUUUCUGCUUUGCUCCUUCGUCCUUGUUGGAUGUUAAGAACGGCAUUUUGGAGAUUUAGUCCUUGCAAUCUAACCACGCUAGAGAGUUGAAGAUGCGUGAAUCACUCGAAGCUACUUGCAUCACUCUCAGAAGAGGUUCUUAAUAAUAAUAAAAAAAUAAUUUUUCAGAAUCGAGAAUUUUGUUCGCCUCUGCAUGUUUCGUAUCGCUAAAAUUGAGUUCGUAAGUUUCGCCUCUGUGUGAAAGUUGGUUUUAAAUUCUGGUACGUAAUUGUAGUGUCAUCAUUGAAGCUACAAUAAAUUCAUCCACAUUGUGACUUUUAUGAUUAUUUACAACCAUUAUCCAAUU